RNAcentral lists this transfer RNA (77 nucleotides) under Hyalomma marginatum. RNAcentral describes it as "tRNA-Arg(tct)". It matches the Rfam family "tRNA". Rfam says of the family: Transfer RNA (tRNA) molecules are approximately 80 nucleotides in length. Their secondary structure includes four short double-helical elements and three loops (D, anti-codon, and T loops). The record is from RNAcentral. RNAcentral also lists the same sequence under 3 other names. Lineage: Eukaryota; Metazoa; Arthropoda; Arachnida; Ixodida; Ixodidae.
GUGCCCUUAGCUCAGCUGGACAGAGCAACAGCCUUCUAAGCUGUGGGUCGGAGGUUCGAAUCCUCCAGGGCACGCCA